Molecule: ribosomal RNA, 482 nt
Filed under: uncultured bacterium
Lineage: Bacteria
Description: partial 16S ribosomal RNA
Rfam family: Bacterial small subunit ribosomal RNA
Source: RNAcentral
AUUGAACGCUGGCGGCAUGCUUUACACAUGCAAGUCGAACGGUAACAGGCCGCAAGGUGCUGACGAGUGGCGAACGGGUGAGUAAUGCAUCGGAACGUGCCCAGUCGUGGGGGAUAACUACUCGAAAGAGUAGCUAAUACCGCAUACGAUCUAUGGAUGAAAGCGGGGGACCGUAAGGCCUCGCGCGAUUGGAGCGGCCGAUGUCCGAUUAGGUAGUUGGUGGGGUAAAGGCUCACCAAGCCAACGAUCUGUAGCUGGUCUGAGAGGACGACCAGCCACACUGGGACUGAGACACGGCCCAGACUCCUACGGGAGGCAGCAGUGGGGAAUUUUGGACAAUGGGCGCAAGCCUGAUCCAGCAAUGCCGCGUGCAGGAAGAAGGCCUUCGGGUUGUAAACUGCUUUUGUACGGAACGAAACGGCUCUGGUUAAUACCCGGGGCUAAUGACGGUACCGUAAGAAUAAGCACCGGCUAACUACGUG